RNAcentral lists this ribosomal RNA (253 nucleotides) under uncultured bacterium. RNAcentral's name for it is "partial 16S ribosomal RNA". It matches the Rfam family "Bacterial small subunit ribosomal RNA", at positions 524 to 776 of the family's 1533-position model. The record is from RNAcentral.
UACAGAGGGUGCGAGCGUUGUUCGGAAUUAUUGGGCGUAAAGCGCGUGUAGGCGGCUCAGCAAGUUGGGUGUGAAAGCCCUCGGCUUAACCGAGGAAGUGCGCCCAAAACUACUAAGCUUGAGUACCGGAGAGGAUGGCGGAAUUCCCGGUGUAGAGGUGAAAUUCGUAGAUAUCGGGAGGAACACCAGUGGCGAAGGCGGCCAUCUGGACGGAUACUGACGCUGAGACGCGAAAGCGUGGGGAGCAAACAGG